UGUGGGAGCGGGCUUGCUCGCGAAUGCGUUGGAUCAGUUACUGCUGUAUUUGCUGAUCCACCGCAUUCGCGAGCAAGCCCGCUCCCACA
Molecule: unclassified non-coding RNA, 89 nt
Filed under: Pseudomonas kilonensis
Lineage: Bacteria; Pseudomonadati; Pseudomonadota; Gammaproteobacteria; Pseudomonadales; Pseudomonadaceae
Source: RNAcentral